CAGCUGAGGAUAUAAAAAGCUGGAUCCUUGAGGAAACAUCUCAGAACCAUCUCUUCCCUUCUAACCUCUCAACCCUUCGAGAACCGCCUCUCUCCGAUAUCCUAAGAUGGCCAACCGCUCAAUGUGGAACGAAUGCUACGCUCAAUGCCCAGCUUCAACUGUGACCAUCCAGCCACCACCCUUUGUUCUCACCAUCCCAGGACCUGCCCUCUACUGUCCUGACCAGCCUCUGGGCAUUGAACAACACAAUCCUUGUGCCGCAGUUACUUUGCCCAUGCCAAGGGGUGGCUCCAACCUCACCAGCUUCUACUCCCGAGCUCUGCCAAGCUCUAACUUCAGCUCCUCCACUUAUCGGUCAUCGUAUUAACCUUCCUGAGCAUGAAGAUGAAGUCCUCCUCCAUCAAUGGACUUUUUGAGAGCCCUUCAGCUGACCAUUUGCCACGACACACACCUGUCUCUUUCCACGUUCACAUCCCAGCCAUACCUAACUUCUUUUCACUGUACAUUUGACAAGCCAUCGGACUCUGGUUUCCCUUCCGUCGAAUUCCCUAAGCAGAGAAAGAUCCUUCUGUACCGACAGGAUACGAUUCCGUAACUGGUCGAAAGGGGGCUAUGGAAGGUUGCCAAGAGGAAAACCCGGUUCUGGGGAUGGAAGUCCACCUUUUCAGUCAAUGUUCAUCUUGUAGAACAUGUUCUCAUGUGUCUUUGUUCAUAUUAAAAUAUCUCUAAGAUUGCAUUCCAAAA
Long non-coding RNA from Pantherophis guttatus, 744 nucleotides. RefSeq lists it as uncharacterized. The record is from RefSeq and is a predicted model, not a curated record. Lineage: Eukaryota; Metazoa; Chordata; Lepidosauria; Squamata; Colubridae.